RNAcentral lists this ribosomal RNA (104 nucleotides) under uncultured bacterium. RNAcentral's name for it is "partial 16S ribosomal RNA". It matches the Rfam family "Bacterial small subunit ribosomal RNA", at positions 1379 to 1482 of the family's 1533-position model. The record is from RNAcentral.
CCUUGUACACACCGCCCGUCACACCAUGGGAGUGGGUUGUACCAGAAGUAGGUAGCUUAACCUUCGGGAGGGCGCUUACCACGGUAUGAUUCAUGGCUGGGGUG